UAGUAUAUUCAGAUUUUUGCUUUUUUUUUUUUUUUUUUUUGAGACAGGGUCUCACAGUGUCACCCAGGCUGGAGUGCAGUGGCAUGAUGAUGGCUCACUGCAGCCUUGACCUCUUGGGCUCAAGCAAUUCUCCCACCUCAGCCUCCGGAGUAGCUGGAACCACAGGAUUAAAGAAUCGGGUUAGUCAGUCUUGGUGGUGCAUGCCUGUAAUCCCAGUUACUGAAGAGGCUGAGAGGGAGGAUCCCUUGAGCCCAGGAGUUUGAAUCCAGCAUGGGCAGCAAAGCAAGACCCAAUCUCUUAUUUUCAAAUGUAAAAAAUUAAAAAAACAAAUUGGGGAAAUAUAAACUCAAGUUUUACUAAUCUUUUCAAGUUCCUCUAUGUUUUAACAAUGUGUCAUACACUUUACACAUUAUCUUAUUUCCUCCAUUCAGCAGUUUAUGAGGAAGUUCCUUUUUUUUUCUUUCUUUUUUUUUUUUUUUUUAAGAGAAAGGGUCUCCUUCCAUCAUUCAGGCUGGAGUGCAG
Molecule: long non-coding RNA, 522 nt
Filed under: Homo sapiens (human)
Lineage: Eukaryota; Metazoa; Chordata; Mammalia; Primates; Hominidae
Description: HSALNT0140615
Source: RNAcentral